This 415-nucleotide ribosomal RNA is filed under the name uncultured bacterium. Its description in RNAcentral is "bacterial SSU rRNA". It matches the Rfam family "Bacterial small subunit ribosomal RNA", at positions 32 to 424 of the family's 1533-position model. The record is from RNAcentral.
CAUCAACGCUGGCGGCGUGCCUCAGACAUGCAAGUCGAACGCGAAAGGCCCCUUCGGGGGCCGAGUAGAGUGGCGCACGGGUGAGUAACACGUAGGUAAUCUACCUUUGGGGUGGGGAAUAACAGCCGGAAACGGCUGCUAAUACCGCAUAAUGCAGCGGCUCGACAUCGAGACAGUUGUUAAAGCGGGGGAUCCUUCGGGACCUCGCGCCUAAAGAGGAGCCUGCGGCAGAUUAGCUUGUUGGCAGGGUAACGGCCUACCAAGGCGACGAUCUGUAGCCGGCCUGAGAGGGCGGUCGGCCACACUGACACUGACACACGGGUCAGACUCCUACGGAGGCAGCAGUCGGGAAUUUUGGGCAAUGGGCGAAAGCCUGACCCAGCAACGCCGCGUGAAGGAUGAAAUCCCUCGGGAU